ACGGCGAGUGAAGCGGGAAAAGCUCAAAAUUAAAAUCUGGGCCCAUUUCGGGCUCCGAGUUGUAAUCUAUAGACGUGUGGCCAGUGCGUGACCUGGGUAUAACUCUUUUGGAAAAAGGGAUCAUAGAGGGUGAGAAUCCCGCCUUUGACUCAGAGUUCACCACGUACGAUACACGUUCAACGAGUCGAGUUGCUUGGGACUGCAGCUCUAAGUGGGUGGUAAACUUCAUCUAAAGCUAAAUAUCAGUGAGAGACCGAUAGCGAACAAGUAGCGUGAGCGAAAGGUGAAAAGAACUUUGAAGAGAGAGUUAAAAAGUACUUGAAAUUGCUAAGAGGUAAACUAUGGAAACUAGUCAUUGCUUCUGCGACAUUUUACCAUUUGAUCUUGGAAGAGCUUCGGGUGCAGAGCUGUAAAAAGCCUGUUCUACUCGGGGUUGGACCUUGGUUGGGUGGGUCUGGUGUUGUGGAGCGAGUCAGAAUCAAUUUGUUUCGCCGGAUAAGGCCUUUGGGAAGAUGCGAUCGUCUUCGGACUUUUGUUUAUAGACCAUUGGAGAUACGGUGGAGGAGAUUGAGGAACCGAGAAGGCACCCCCGCAAGGGGAUAGGAGUCUUGUUGGAUGCGUUGCCAGUCGAUUCGGACAGCAAAAGUUGUGCGGUUGAUGAAGCGAUGUACCUAGCAGGGAUCUCUAUUCGUGCU
This 695-nucleotide ribosomal RNA is filed under the name uncultured fungus. Its description in RNAcentral is "eukaryotic LSU rRNA". It matches the Rfam family "Eukaryotic large subunit ribosomal RNA", at positions 86 to 619 of the family's 3401-position model. Lineage: Eukaryota; Fungi. The record is from RNAcentral.